Molecule: ribosomal RNA, 484 nt
Filed under: uncultured bacterium
Lineage: Bacteria
Description: partial 16S ribosomal RNA
Rfam family: Bacterial small subunit ribosomal RNA
Source: RNAcentral
AUUGAACGCUGGCGGCAGGCCUAACACAUGCAAGUCGAGCGGAUGAAGGGAGCUUGCUCCUGGAUUCAGCGGCGGACGGGUGAGUAAUGCCUAGGAAUCUGCCUGGUAGUGGGGGAUAACGUCCGGAAACGGGCGCUAAUACCGCAUACGUCCUGAGGGAGAAAGUGGGGGAUCUUCGGACCUCACGCUAUUAGAUGAGCCUAGGUCGGAUUAGCUAGUUGGUGGGGUAAAGGCCUACCAAGGCGACGAUCCGUAACUGGUCUGAGAGGAUGAUCAGUCACACUGGAACUGAGACACGGUCCAGACUCCUACGGGAGGCAGCAGUGGGGAAUAUUGGACAAAGGGCGAAAGCCUGAUCCAGCCAUGCCGCGUGUGUGAAGAAGGUCUUCGGAUUGUAAAGCACUUUAAGUUGGGAGGAAGGGCAGUAAGUUAAUACCUUGCUGUGUUGACGUUACCAGCAGAAUAAGCACCGGCUAACUUCGUG